Small nucleolar RNA from Myxocyprinus asiaticus (Chinese sucker), 136 nucleotides. The record is from RefSeq and is a predicted model, not a curated record. NCBI's taxonomy places the organism in Eukaryota, Metazoa, Chordata, Actinopteri, Cypriniformes, Catostomidae.
CUGCACUGUUCGUAACCUGUUUCAGCCCAUCAGUCUGAGAUUUGGGUUCCAUUCCAGUGCAAAAGUAAAAACUCAGUGAGGCAGGGGAGUAGUGCCCUAUUUGUGCUUUCUCCCUGUUCACUCUCUGAUGACAAAA